ACAGGGCAGGAGGACAACAAGAAACUCGCAGUUAGGGUUAUUAGUUUCCUCAGGAAACUGUCACAAAUGUCCACACAUGUGGAUUAAAACAACAGAAACGUAUUCUCUACCAGUCCCGGAGGCCAGAGUCUAAAACUGAGCAGUGAUUUCCAUGAAGACACGUGACUGCGUUCAGGGCCCGCCAUGGAGAUGCAGGAGCAGCUCCCCCUCCUUGCAAGAUCCCGACUCCUCGCAUCUUUGCAGCAGAAGGUGAUUUUGAUUACAUUUGACGGAAUCUCAGAGCUGGAGAGCAACUUUUUCAAACCUGCUUACUGCCUGUCAGUGAAGUUAGAUGCAAGGUCACCAGGAGGAUGACCUUGACACUCCCUCUGCUUGUACAGUGGUUUGAAGAAUGUCCUUACUGUGGUCAGACUCCACUUUCCAUGAGGUUUCAGCCUCAGACCAUGGUGGAGAGCAAGCAAGAUACCAGUGACCCAAUUGGGUCUCAGCCAAGACAGACAAUCAAGUUUUCUGUACAUUCUGGACAUUGUACUUGUUCAUUAAAGGAAAGAGAUAAUGAGGAUUUCCUGAUCUAUAGUAUUGCCAUUAAUAACCACCAUUUCAAAGUCUUUCAUAUUUAAUCAUCACAUUUGACUUCCAUGAGAUGUUUAUUGCUUUUAAUCCCAUUCAAUUGAUUUUGAAAUCCAACAUCAGCUACGUCACAGUCAGUGAAUUAGAAGGCAACAUUUCUUUGCUGACUCCAUAUUCAGGGCUCUUGCCUAGAUGCUAUGCUUAUACUGUUUUACAUGUUCAACUUCAUCUCUGGCCUUUAGAAUUAACUCAGUAACAGGAUUAGGAAAUAUAUGACCAAAUAUCAAAGGGUUGGUUAAUUUUGUGUGUCAACAUGACUAGGUCACAGUACCUAGUUAUCUGGUCAAACAUUAUUGCAGAAGCUUCUGUGAAGGUAUCUUUUAUUUAUUUUUUAGAUGAAAGCCUCAUCAGUCAUGGGAAGUCUUUAAUAGGAAAAGACUGACCUUCCAGGAAGAAGAGAGAAUUCUACCAUCAAAUCACCUUGUGGCUCUAGCUACAACUCUUCUUUGGGCCGUCCUUCGUCUAUUCAUGUUCUAACAAAAUAUCACGGACAGGGUAAUAGAAAUCGAUUCCUCACAUUCUGGAGGCUGGGAAGUCCAGAGUCAAGGUGUGGGCAGGUUUGGUGUCUGGAGAGCCUGGUUACUGUUUCCAAGAUGGUGCUUUUUGCUGCGUCCUUACAUGGCAGAGGCAGAAAGGCAAAGGGGGCAGCACUGUGUCCUCACCGGGCAGAAGAAAUGGAAGGGCCCGAAGGACAUAUGGCGGUGCUUUCCAGUCAGGGCUUCAGGGACAGGACUGCCUCCUGGUGGCCUAGGGAGCAGAGAACAGAGCCAAAAAGAUUAUUCUCCAAAUAAAAGAUCGUUCUCUCAAAUCUACUGGAAUUAGCCUUGCUGGGUUUCAGACUUGCUUGGAAUCUGCCAACCUGUUUUCCUUUUUGAGUUGCUUCUUAAAUGGAAUUGUCUGUCUUCUCUCUGUUGUACCUUGCAUUUCGGAAGCAGGUAACUUGCUUCAUGUUUUAACAUCUGGAGAGAAGUUUUGCAUCAGGACAAAUCACAUGGAACCUUACACAUACCUGACGUAGAUGAUAUUCUGCAGCUGAUGUUUGAAUGGACUAAGACUUCAGGGCAUUUGGGGAUGGGAUGAAUGUAUUAUGUAUUAAAAAAAAAUCAUGGAUUUUGUGGGACUAGAGGUCAGAGUGCUAAAGGUUGGACUGUAUUCCCUCCAAAUUUGUGUAUUGAAUCCAAAGCCCCCAGGAUCUCAGAAUGUGACUAUUUGGACAUAAGGCCUUUAGUCAUAUGUUUGGACAUAUGUCCACUUUAGAAGUGAUUAAGGUGAAAUGAGGUCUUACGAGUGGGUCCUACUCUAAUUGGUGUCUGUAUAAGAAGAGGAGGUUAAGACACAGACACGUGGACUGUAGAGCAGCCACGUGAGGACACAGGGAGAAAGUAGCCAUCUGCCAGCCAAGGAGAGAGGCCUCAGAAGAAACCAACCCUGCCGGCACCUUGGUCUUGGCCUUCAUCCCCAGACUGAGGAAACCAAUUUUUGUUGUUUAAGCCACCUACUUUGUUGUAUUUUCUUAUGGCAGCCCUAGCAAAGCAAUAUAGCCACCAAAAUCACUUAGAUAAUUCAGCGGGGGAAGAAGUCAGCUCCACCAUUUAUUGGCAUGAGGGAGAUUAAUCUUGUUUCUUGCACUGACUUUGUUAUUUCAGAGUUGAUAUUAUAUAGACCCAACUUUAAUUAUGUUUUUCCAUCUCUGAUUUUUCAAAUGUAGCAUCAUAUUCUAUCAAGCCUUCUGCCUUAAUAGCCUAUGAAGUAUUUGCUUCUGAGAUCACAAUCAACUCUGUUUCACUUUAGUAAGAGUAUCUUUCUUUCCUUCUUAAAAAAAUUUAUACUGUGAUUUUAAGUGCAGAAACUCUUGGAAGUAAAAGUCUGCUUUGGAUUCCAACAAAGUUUCCUCAUUUCAUUUUCAUCUCUAAUGUAGCCUUCAGUCUCUCCUGCUUGAAGUCUUGCUUUUAGACACUCUCUGGAGCCAAACUAUCUAAAGCUGGCCUCCUUCCACCAGAAUGAACUGCAGAAAUGAGGAACCUCUCCCGU
Molecule: long non-coding RNA, 2661 nt
Organism: Sciurus carolinensis (gray squirrel)
Lineage: Eukaryota; Metazoa; Chordata; Mammalia; Rodentia; Sciuridae
Exons: 3
Source: RefSeq, a predicted model, not a curated record